This 468-nucleotide ribosomal RNA is filed under the name uncultured bacterium. RNAcentral describes it as "partial 16S ribosomal RNA". It matches the Rfam family "Bacterial small subunit ribosomal RNA", at positions 28 to 507 of the family's 1533-position model. The record is from RNAcentral.
GACGAACGCUGGCGGCGUGCUUAACACAUGCAAGUCGAACGGAAAGGCCCUGCUUUUGUGGGGUGCUCGAGUGGCGAACGGGUGAGUAACACGUGAGUAACCUGCCCUUGACUUUGGGAUAACUUCAGGAAACUGGGGCUAAUACCGGAUAGGAGCUCCUGCUGCAUGGUGGGGGUGGGAAAGUUUGGGCGGUUGGGGAUGGACUGGCGGCUUAUCAGCUGGUUGGUGGGGUAGUGGCUUACCAAGGCUUUGACGGGUAGCCGGCCUGAGAGGGUGACCGGCCACAUUGGGACUGAGAUACGGCCCAGACUCCUACGGGAGGCAGCAGUGGGGAAUAUUGCACAAUGGGCGGAAGCCUGAUGCAGCAACGCCGCGUGCGGGAUGACGGCCUUCGGGUUGUAAACCGCUUUCGCCUGUGACGAAGCGUGAGUGACGGUAAUGGGUAAAGAAGCACCGGCUAACUACGUG